UACGGAGGAUGCAAGCGUUAUCCGGAAUUAUUGGGCGUAAAGCGUCCGUAGGGGGUUGAGUAAGUCUGCUGUUAAAGCGUGUAGCUCAACUCCAUAUCGGCAGUGGAAACUACUUGACUUGAGUGCGGUAGGGGUCAGGGGAAUUCCCAGUGUAGCGGUGAAAUGCGUAGAUAUUGGGAAGAACACUGGUGGCGAAAUCGCCUGACUGGGCCUGCACAGACACUGAGGGUCGAAAGCUAGGGGAGCGAAAGGG
This 253-nucleotide ribosomal RNA is filed under the name uncultured bacterium. RNAcentral's name for it is "partial 16S ribosomal RNA". It matches the Rfam family "Bacterial small subunit ribosomal RNA", at positions 524 to 776 of the family's 1533-position model. The record is from RNAcentral.